This 438-nucleotide ribosomal RNA is filed under the name uncultured bacterium. RNAcentral's name for it is "bacterial SSU rRNA". It matches the Rfam family "Bacterial small subunit ribosomal RNA", at positions 335 to 780 of the family's 1533-position model. The record is from RNAcentral.
ACUCCUACGGGAGGCAGCAGUGGGGAAUAUUGCGCAAUGGGCGGAAGCCUGACGCAGCGACGCCGCGUGGGGGAUGACGGCCUUCGGGUUGUAAACCUCUUUCGACUUCGACGAAGCUUUUUGGGGUGACGGUAGGGGUGGAAGAAGCACCGGCCAACUACGUGCCAGCAGCCGCGGUAAUACGUAGGGUGCGAGCGUUGUCCGGAAUUAUUGGGCGUAAAGAGCUCGUAGGCGGUGUGUCACGUCGGCCGUGAAAACCUGCAGCUUAACUGUGGGCGUGCGGUCGAUACGGGCAUCACUGGAGUUCGGCAGGGGAGACUGGAAUUCCUGGUGUAGCGGUGAAAUGCGCAGAUAUCAGGAGGAACACCGGUGGCGAAGGCGGGUCUCUGGGCCGAUACUGACGCUGAGGAGCGAAAGCGUGGGGAGCGAACAGGAUUA